UUCCUCCUCCCCCGUUAUCCUACCACUGCUUUUUACUCAAAAAAUUGUUUCCAGCAAUUGAAUUGUUUUUUAUCUUGAAGUUCGACUUAGAACGUCACCCAUUUGCCUUAAUUAGUUGAAGUUUUCUUGGACAGAGGUAGGGGAUAUUUUCUCUUCAAAUUCGAUUUCAAAAUUUUGCGAAUAAGAGUUUCAAGGGAUGAUUCAUUGUAUACAGUUACUUGGAUCAUUUUCAUUUCUAAAUUUUGUACUCGUUAUGAUGUAUGUUGUGAGUGUUUCCUUGUUAUGAGCAAGCCUAAUAGGAAACUGGACGACUCUACUUUAGAAAUGUCAGGCCCGCAGGGGCCCUCCAUUUACGAGUGGCAACCCGGAAGACCGUUAGCUGUAACGGUGGCUGGUAACCAGAACUACCCUAACAUCGGUGCUGGCCAAAAUAAUAAGUACGAGAGGAGCUUGCAGCAGUAAGCCGGGUAGGGCUUACAGUAGGCUUUUAGCGCGUCAAAAUUAGUAUUUUGUUGUUCAUAGUAUGUAUAUCACGGGGAUAAAUCUGGGAUAGUCUUAUGCUGCUCAUGACCCAUGCUUUUGAUAUAUUUUGCUGUACAUAAAAGUGUGGGAUCUUGUUUGAUGGAUAGUUUAUUAUCGGUAAUUGACUUAUGCUCUAAAUUUUGCUGUGUAAAUACUUAAGCUAUGGUCUUUGUUAAAGUCUAAAUUUCGGUGCAUCCAGGUUACAAAGACUUCAUUUUGCUGUUUAGUUUUGAUGUAUUGCAGACCUGUUUACAUUUAUAAAUGAUGAGGUCGGAUUUCGGAUAGA
This is a long non-coding RNA of Papaver somniferum (opium poppy), 808 nucleotides long. RefSeq lists it as uncharacterized. Lineage: Eukaryota; Viridiplantae; Streptophyta; Magnoliopsida; Ranunculales; Papaveraceae. The record is from RefSeq and is a predicted model, not a curated record. The transcript is spliced from 3 exons.